RNAcentral lists this long non-coding RNA (217 nucleotides) under Elaeis guineensis (African oil palm). RNAcentral describes it as "long non-coding RNA (EGUI_LNC016721)". The record is from RNAcentral. Lineage: Eukaryota; Viridiplantae; Streptophyta; Magnoliopsida; Arecales; Arecaceae.
ACCAAUGUAUAUAAUUCUUCCAUCUGUACAAAAAUAUAUAAAUGUAUGGAUAUAGUAGAAUAUGUACCCUAAUCAAAAGAUGGAUCUAUUAUUUUAUACAAUAUAAAUUUUUUAAAAUCAAUACCUAAUUAAUUACUUAAAUUAACAUCCAAUUAUGGGAUGCCGUAGAAUAUGCACUCAACCCUUGCACAAGGACAGGCUGCCUUGGACAUCGGUU